This 503-nucleotide ribosomal RNA is filed under the name Veillonella dispar. RNAcentral's name for it is "bacterial SSU rRNA". It matches the Rfam family "Bacterial small subunit ribosomal RNA", at positions 28 to 500 of the family's 1533-position model. The record is from RNAcentral. Lineage: Bacteria; Bacillati; Bacillota; Negativicutes; Veillonellales; Veillonellaceae.
GACGAACGCUGGCGGCGUGCUUAACACAUGCAAGUCGAACGAAGAGCGACGGAAGCUUGCUUCUAUCAAUCUUAGUGGCGAACGGGUGAGUAACGCGUAAUCAACCUGCCCUUCAGAGGGGGACAACAGAUGGAAACGACUGCUAAUACCGCAUACGAUCUAACCUUGGCAUCGAGGAUGGAUGAAAGGUGGCCUCUAUUUAUAAGCUAUCACUGAAGGAGGGGAUUGCGUCUGAUUAGCUAGUUGGAGGGGUAACGGCCCACCAAGGCGAUGAUCAGUAGCCGGUCUGAGAGGAUGAACGGCCACAUUGGGACUGAGACACGGCCCAGACUCCUACGGGAGGCAGCAGUGGGGAAUCUUCCGUAAUGGACGAAAGUCUGACGGAGCAACGCCGCGUGAGUGAUGACGGCCUUCGGGUUGUAAAGCUCUGUUAAUCGGGACGAAAGGCCUUCUUGCGAACAGUUAGGAGGAUUGACGGUACCGGAAUAGAAAGCCACGGCUAA